GACGAAGGUGGCGAGCGUUACUCGGAAUUACUAGGCGUAAAGCGUGGGCAGGUGGUCUGAUAAGUCUGUUGUGAAAGCUCCUGGCUUAACUGGGAGAGGCCAAUGGAUACUGUCGGACUUGAAUGUGGGAGAGGUGACUGGAAUUCCCGGUGUAGCGGUGAAAUGCGUAGAGAUCGGGAGGAACACCAAUGGCGAAAGCAGGUCACUGGACCACUAUUGACACUCAUCCACGAAAGCUAGGGGAUCAAACAGG
RNAcentral lists this ribosomal RNA (253 nucleotides) under uncultured bacterium. Its description in RNAcentral is "partial 16S ribosomal RNA". It matches the Rfam family "Bacterial small subunit ribosomal RNA", at positions 524 to 776 of the family's 1533-position model. The record is from RNAcentral.